AGUGAACGCUGGCGGCAGGCCUAAUACAUGCAAGUCGAACGGCAGCACAGCAGAGCUUGCUCUGUGGGUGGCGAGUGGCGGACGGGUGAGGAAUACAUGGGAAUCUGCCCAGUCGUGGGGGAUAACGUAUGGAAACGUACGCUAAUACCGCAUGCGCCCUACGGGGGAAAGCCGGGGACCGCAAGGCCUGGCGCGAUUGGAUGAGCCCAUGUUCGAUUAGCUAGUUGGCGGGGUAAAGGCCCACCAAGGCGACGAUCGAUAGCUGGUCUGAGAGGAUGAUCAGCCACACUGGAACUGAGACACGGUCCAGACUCCUACGGGAGGCAGCAGUAGGGAAUAUUGGACAAUGGGGGCGAACCCUCGAUCCACGCCAUGCCGCGUGAGU
RNAcentral lists this ribosomal RNA (385 nucleotides) under uncultured bacterium. RNAcentral's name for it is "bacterial SSU rRNA". It matches the Rfam family "Bacterial small subunit ribosomal RNA", at positions 29 to 406 of the family's 1533-position model. The record is from RNAcentral.